Molecule: ribosomal RNA, 492 nt
Filed under: uncultured bacterium
Lineage: Bacteria
Description: bacterial SSU rRNA
Rfam family: Bacterial small subunit ribosomal RNA
Source: RNAcentral
AAAUGAAUAGACGGGGACCCGCACAAGCGGUGGAGCAUGUGCUUUAAUUCGAUGCAACGCGAAGAACCUUACCCGGUCUUGACAUAGUUCUGACCACUGUAGAGAUACGGUUUUCAGCAAUGACAGGACAUACAGAUGCUGCAUGGUUGUCGUCAGCUCGUGUCGUGAGAUGUUGGGUUAAGUCCCGCAACGAGCGCAACCCUUGCCGAUAGUUACCAUCAUUAAGUUGGGGACUCUAUCGGGACUGCUUUCGCAAGGAAGAGGAAGGUGGGGAUGACGUCAAAUCAUCAUGGCUCUUACGACCGGGGCUAGACACGUGCUACAAUGGCGGCUACAAAGGGUUGCUACUUAGUAAUAAGAUGCCAAUCUCAAAAAAGCCGUCUCAGUUCGGAUUGAGGUCUGCAACUCGACCUCAUGAAGUUGGAAUCGCUAGUAAUCGUAGGUCAGCAUACUACGGUGAAUACGUUCCCGGGUCUUGUACACACCGCCCGU